Molecule: non-coding RNA, 224 nt
Filed under: Lysinibacillus contaminans
Lineage: Bacteria; Bacillati; Bacillota; Bacilli; Caryophanales; Bacillaceae
Description: T-box sequence
Rfam family: T-box leader
About the family: Uncharged tRNA acts as the effector for transcription antitermination of genes in the T-box leader family. T-boxes are found upstream of many aminoacyl-tRNA synthetase genes and some amino acid biosynthetic genes usually in Gram-positive bacteria.
Source: RNAcentral
AUAUAGGCGAAGAUGGAAACAGUAUUUGUUAGGAGCAGUAAUAGCGAUUUGGGGAUAGUGUGAGCCCGAACAAGCAACUAACAAAGAAAAUCAUUCCUGAGCUAAAUAACUGAACUAAUAGUAAGUUAUUUCGUGGCGCACGACGUUAACGUGCUUUCAAGAGGUAGUAUAAUUGUAUACUGCAACUAGGGUGGUACCGCGAGUUCAAGCUUCUCGUCCCUUUU